Molecule: unclassified non-coding RNA, 390 nt
Filed under: soil metagenome
Description: partial contains 5.8S ribosomal RNA, internal transcribed spacer 2, and large subunit ribosomal RNA
Rfam family: 5.8S ribosomal RNA (bases 1-121)
Source: RNAcentral
GAUGAAGAACGUAGCGAAAUGCGAUAAGUAAUGUGAAUUGCAGAAUUCAGUGAAUCAUCGAAUCUUUGAACGCACCUUGCGCUCUUUGGCCAUUCCAAAGAGCAUGCCUGUUUGAGUGUCAUUUGAAUCCUCAAGGGCCCCCCUCUGCCCCUUUGCGGCUCUGGGGGCUUCUUGGACUUGGGAGCGCUGCGGGGCCUGACAUUGGCUCCGCUCUCCUCAAACGCAUCAGUGGGGCCUCUUCCCUUUCGGGGUCUUUGCGGCGUUGAUAGUCGUCUACGCCUCGCCCGUCGGGUUUCACCCGCUCCCCAACCCCCCUUUCUCCUUUGAACACUUUGACCUCAAAUCAGGUAGGACUACCCGCUGAACUUAAGCAUAUCAAUAAGCGGAGGA